GACGAACGCUGGCGGCGUGCUUAACACAUGCAAGUCGAACGGAAAGGCCCUGCUUUUGUGGGGUGCUCGAGUGGCGAACGGGUGAGUAACACGUGAGUAACCUGCUCUUGACUUUGGGAUAACUUCAGGAAACUGGGGCUACUACCGGAUAGGAGCUCCUGCUGCAUGGUGGGGGGUGGAAAGUUUCGGCGGUUGGGGAUGGACUCGCGGCUUAUCAGCUUGUUGGUGGGGUAGUGGCUUACCAAGGCUUUGACGGGUAGCCGGCCUGAGAGGGUGACCGGCCACAUUGGGACUGAGAUACGGCCCAGACUCCUACGGGAGGCAGCAGUGGGGAGUAUUGCACAAUGGGACGAAGCCUGAUGCAGCAACGCCGCGUGCGGGAAGACGGCCUUCGGGUUGUAAACCGCUUUCGCCUGUGACGAAGCGUGAGUGACGGUAAUGGGUAAAGAAGCACCGGCUAACUACGUG
Molecule: ribosomal RNA, 468 nt
Filed under: uncultured bacterium
Lineage: Bacteria
Description: partial 16S ribosomal RNA
Rfam family: Bacterial small subunit ribosomal RNA
Source: RNAcentral